This 246-nucleotide ribosomal RNA is filed under the name uncultured bacterium. RNAcentral describes it as "partial 16S ribosomal RNA". It matches the Rfam family "Bacterial small subunit ribosomal RNA", at positions 57 to 305 of the family's 1533-position model. The record is from RNAcentral.
GCAAGUCGAGCGGUAACAGGAAGUAGCUUGCUACUUUGCUGACGAGCGGCGGACGGGUGAGUAAUGCUUGGGAAUAUGCCUUUGAGUGGGGGACAACAGUUGGAAACGACUGCUAAUACCGCAUAAUGUCUACGGACCAAAGGGGGCUUCGGCUCUCGCCAUUUGAUUAGCCCAAGUGAGAUUAGCUAGUUGGUGAGGUAAUGGCUCACCAAGGCGACGAUCUCUAGCUGGUUUGAGAGGAUGAUC